Molecule: long non-coding RNA, 553 nt
Organism: Drosophila miranda
Lineage: Eukaryota; Metazoa; Arthropoda; Insecta; Diptera; Drosophilidae
Exons: 2
Source: RefSeq, a predicted model, not a curated record
UCGAGGACCGUACAGGAUCAAUAGAGUAUUGGAUAAUGAUCGUUAUGAGGUUGUCGACAUUGAGGACUGUCAGUUGACGCAAAUUGUAACAUUUCCACGAUAUAUUUCUAUCCGUGAGUAGGGGAUGGAUUGGAGGGGAUGUCGAGGUCACGGCCGGGGGGGAUUCUUUGGUUCCGUGCUCAUUCGAAUCCCGUGACUCUACCGGGAGCGAACUCCGAAAACAACACUAUGCCUAUUCCGAGCAUAACGGACAUUAAAUGGCACAAUCAUAGGGCUUACCCGAAAAGUACUAGUGGCUUUCGUCGGCGUGUUCCAAACUCUCGCGGGCGUGAGGUCUUGCGAUGGAAGUCGACCCACACGAUUCUAUACCCACCCUUCCAUGAUUUCCAGUGGUGCGAAGGUUCUGGAAAUCCCUAAAAUUCUUACCCUACCCCAUUACGUCACCCUGUCCCUUGGAAAUUAUAAGUCUACUCCAUGUUCAUUGCUAAUAACAUUCAAUAUAUUUCGUUGUACUUCAUCAUAGACAUGUUGCUUCAAUCAAAAACUAGCAAAC